GACGAACGCUGGCGGCGUGCCUAAUACAUGCAAGUCGAACGAGUGGCGGACGGGUGAGUAAUGCUUGGGAAUCUAGCUUAUGGAGGGGGAUAACUACGGGAAACUGUAGCUAAUACCGCGUACCAUAGGAUGAGCCCAAGUGGGAUUAGGUAGUUGGUGAGGUAAAGGCUCACCAAGCCGACGAUCUCUAGCUGGUCUGAGAGGAUGACCAGCCACACUGGGACUGAGACACGGCCCAGACUCCUACGUGAGGCAGCAGUGGGGAAUAUUGCGCAAUGGGGGCAACCUGACGCAGCCAUGCCGCGUGAAUGAAGAAGGCCUUCGGGUUGUAAAGUUCUUUCGGUAGCGAGGCGUUAAUCACAGAAGAAGCACCGGCUAACUCCGUGCCAGCAGCCGCGGUAAUAC
Molecule: ribosomal RNA, 405 nt
Filed under: uncultured bacterium
Lineage: Bacteria
Description: partial 16S ribosomal RNA
Rfam family: Bacterial small subunit ribosomal RNA
Source: RNAcentral